UCAGAAAAAGACCCUAACACAACUGUUCAUACCAAUAUUGUUAGAAAAUGAAGUGUUGAAGUAUGUUACCAUAUUAUCCAAAAGCUCAAGUUGUUAGAGACAACAUGUUUUUGUUUGCUUAAUUAGGUCUUCAACACCCCCUUACACAUGGCCCUUGAGCUAAACACAUGCACAUUCCUUUUGAUAAUGGCUGGCGGUGGCCGGUGAGAUUAAACCUAGAACUUGU
RNAcentral lists this long non-coding RNA (226 nucleotides) under Capsicum annuum. RNAcentral's name for it is "long non-coding RNA (CANN_LNC019545)". Lineage: Eukaryota; Viridiplantae; Streptophyta; Magnoliopsida; Solanales; Solanaceae. The record is from RNAcentral.